RNAcentral lists this ribosomal RNA (486 nucleotides) under uncultured bacterium. Its description in RNAcentral is "partial 16S ribosomal RNA". It matches the Rfam family "Bacterial small subunit ribosomal RNA", at positions 30 to 507 of the family's 1533-position model. The record is from RNAcentral.
AUUGAACGCUGGCGGCAUGCCUUACACAUGCAAGUCGAACGGCAGCACGGGUGCUUGCACCUGGUGGCGAGUGGCGAACGGGUGAGUAAUACAUCGGAACAUGUCCUGUAGUUGGGGAUAGCCCGGCGAAAGCCGGAUUAAUACCGCAUACGAUCUACGGAUGAAAGCGGGGGACCUUCGGGCCUCGCGCUAUAGGGUUGGCCGAUGGCUGAUUAGCUAGUUGGUGGGGUAAAGGCCUACCAAGGCGACGAUCAGUAGCUGGUCUGAGAGGACGACCAGCCACACUGGGACUGAGACACGGCCCAGACUCCUACGGGAGGCAGCAGUGGGGAAUUUUGGACAAUGGGCGAAAGCCUGAUCCAGCAAUGCCGCGUGUGUGAAGAAGGCCUUCGGGUUGUAAAGCACUUUUGUCCGGAAAGAAAUCCUUGGCUCUAAUACAGUCGGGGGAUGACGGUACCGGAAGAAUAAGCACCGGCUAACUACGUG